UGGCAUACUGGCAUCGCGCCGCGAGAGAGACCUCUCUCAGCGGACACGGGCAUCGCGCCGUGAGGAAGGCCCUCCUCAGCGGACACGGCAUCGUACUGUUGAGAGAGGCCUCCCCCAACAGACGCAAGCAUCAAAUAUAAGCAUAAACUUAUCAGCGUAAAGCAUUCAAGCGUAAAUAAGCGUAAUCAAGCGUAAAUCAUUUAGC
RNAcentral lists this long non-coding RNA (205 nucleotides) under Salvia miltiorrhiza (redroot sage). RNAcentral describes it as "long non-coding RNA (SMIL_LNC009163)". The record is from RNAcentral. Lineage: Eukaryota; Viridiplantae; Streptophyta; Magnoliopsida; Lamiales; Lamiaceae.